UGGGGGAUAUUGCACAAUGGGGGGAACCCUGAUGCAGCGACGCCGCGUGAGCGAAGAAGUACCUCGGUAUGUAAAGCUCUAUCAGCAGGGAAGAAGAUGACGGUACCUGACUAAGAAGCUCCGGCUAAAUACGUGCCAGCAGCCGCGGUAAUACGUAUGGAGCAAGCGUUAUCCGGAUUUACUGGGUGUAAAGGGAGCGUAGGCGGCCUGGCAAGUCUGGUGUGAAAACCCGGGGCCCAACCCCGGGAGUGCAUUGGAAACUGCCAGGCUGGAGUGCCGGAGGGGCAGGCGGAAUUCCUAGUG
Molecule: ribosomal RNA, 303 nt
Filed under: uncultured bacterium
Lineage: Bacteria
Description: bacterial SSU rRNA
Rfam family: Bacterial small subunit ribosomal RNA
Source: RNAcentral